AAGCAUCUUCGGAUGUGUAUAAAGUGGCGAACGGCUGAGUAACACGUGGGCAACCUGCCCUUUGCACUGGGAUAGCCUCGGGAAACCGAGGUUAAUACCGGAUACUCCAUAUUUGUCGCGUGGCGAAUAUGGGAAAGCUCCGGCGGCAAAGGAUGGGCCCGCGGCCUGUUAGCUAGUUGGUGGGGUAGUGGCCUACCAAGGCAAUGAUGGGUAGCCGGGUUGAGAGACCGACCGGCCAGAUUGGGACUGAGACACGGCCCAGACUCCUACGGGAGGCAGCAGUGGGGAAUCUUGCACAAUGGGCGACAGCCUGAUGCAGCGACGCCGCGUGCGGGAUGAAGGCCUUCGGGUUGUAAACCGCUUUCAGCAGGGACGAGGCCGCAAGGUGACGGUACC
RNAcentral lists this ribosomal RNA (396 nucleotides) under uncultured Atopobium sp. Its description in RNAcentral is "bacterial SSU rRNA". It matches the Rfam family "Bacterial small subunit ribosomal RNA", at positions 72 to 479 of the family's 1533-position model. The record is from RNAcentral. Lineage: Bacteria; Bacillati; Actinomycetota; Coriobacteriia; Coriobacteriales; Atopobiaceae.